GCCUCCCGCCCGCACCGUGCCCUUUGCGUGACCGUGCCCCCGCCGCACCUUCCCUGUCCCACGCUUACCUUUCGGGCCCGGCCGCCGAGGGGCUGCCCCCCCCCGCUCCCGCCCCCCGCCCCGGCUCCGCCAUCCCCGCCGCAGGGGUGUCGCACGCCGCCGCGCCGGCACAGCCUCGGCUCUCGCCUUGCGCGCACUCGGCUGGCGCUGGCAGCCCCGCCGGGUUCAUGCGAGGACAGCGGCGGCUCCGCGCCGCGGCUCGUCUGGCUGCCAACGCCGCGGCGAGGCUGACGCUGCCGCGGCCGGGGGUGACUCACGGCGGCAGCCACCGGGUAGCGGAUCCGAGAGCCGAGCGGCGAGCGGGCACAUCGGGCCCCGCUCUUCGCCCCCUUCCCCGGGCACCGCGUGCCGCCCGUCGCACCCCUGCCCCCUCCCCGACCCCCUGCGCUUCUGCCAAGUGGAAUAAACGCCCGGGUUUCCGGCAAACAUUCACCCUUCCGACACCGAACGGGAGGCCGCCCCCCUCCCGGCCGGCACCCCUGUCGCAGGCGGGCCGGGGUCCGUCCCCGCGGCCGGCAGCGCUCCCGGCGGCACCCGCCCCCACCUCUCCAUGCUUAUAUAACAGCUCUCAAGAGGAAGCUGCUAACAAGCCCAUCUGCUUGUUUGUGCCAGCUGUUUUAGUGGAGGCAUGCUGGAUGUGACUGAGCUCCACCUUCUUUUUUGAGAUAUUAUCUUCAUUUACAGGAAUUUUCAUGGAAAGUGAGCCUGAGCCAUGGCAGAUAAAGACUUUAUGGAUAUUUUCCCCUAAGAGGACACUUCUAACAGAUCUUGUAUGUUACCUGAUUUCUUUUCCUCUUCCAAGUUUACGUUUUAUGGAUCCUUUUAGUA
This 888-nucleotide long non-coding RNA is filed under the name Junco hyemalis (dark-eyed junco). RNAcentral's name for it is "lncRNA (ENSJHYG00000004932.1)". Lineage: Eukaryota; Metazoa; Chordata; Aves; Passeriformes; Passerellidae. The record is from RNAcentral.